CCUACGGGUGGCAGCAGUGGGGAAUAUUGGACAAUGGGCGAAAGCCUGAUCCAGCCAUGCCGCGUGUGUGAAGAAGGCCUUCGGGUUGUAAAGCACUUUCAGUGGGGAAGAAAGCCUUGGGGCUAAUACCCUCGAGGUAGGACAUCACCCACAGAAGAAGCACCGGCUAACUCCGUGCCAGCAGCCGCGGUAAUACGGAGGGUGCGAGCGUUAAUCGGAAUUACUGGGCGUAAAGCGCGCGUAGGCGGUCUGAUAAGCCGGUUGUGAAAGCCCCGGGCUCAACCUGGGAACGGCAUCCGGAACUGUCAGGCUAGAGUGCAGGAGAGGAAGGUAGAAUUCCCGGUGUAGCGGUGAAAUGCGUAGAGAUCGGGAGGAAUACCAGUGGCGAAGGCGGCCUUCUGGACUGACACUGACGCUGAGGUGCGAAAGCGUGGGUAGCAAACAGGAUUAGAUACCCGAGUAGUC
Molecule: ribosomal RNA, 465 nt
Filed under: Vreelandella stevensii
Lineage: Bacteria; Pseudomonadati; Pseudomonadota; Gammaproteobacteria; Oceanospirillales; Halomonadaceae
Description: partial 16S ribosomal RNA
Rfam family: Bacterial small subunit ribosomal RNA
Source: RNAcentral